Paramisgurnus dabryanus is the source of this 8919-nucleotide non-coding RNA. The record is from RefSeq and is a predicted model, not a curated record. Lineage: Eukaryota; Metazoa; Chordata; Actinopteri; Cypriniformes; Cobitidae.
AAUUAGAACAUUCCCACAUCCGCAUAUCCUUGAAAUAUGAAUAUUAACCGUGCUUUGAAUAAUCAUGAUUUUAUUAUUGCAUUAUUAAUGAUUGCAUUGCCUUUAAUCUUAAAGAUUUUAAGAAUAGCUUUGAGUAUUAACCUUUAGCAUAUAGUACUAAAGUUAGAAUAGUCUAGCAGGCUUAGAGAUAUGAUUCCAUUGUAUAUGGGUUUUGAUAGUUGACUUUUAAAUGUCAUGUGCAAAUUUAGCAGGCUUGGAGUUUUUGCGGUAUGUAUGUAUGUGUGUUUUUUAACUUUUGCUUUGCAGAAACACCUGGGGAGAAAAACAGGAUGUCGGGGCAGGGUGAAAUAACGGUCAUAGCUAUUUAUAACAGGAUGAACUUCUAAAACAGAAGUACAACUUUCCAUCGAACGGGUCUGGUGAACCUUUAAGAAAGAAGUAAAACUUUCCAUCGAACAGGCCCCCACCAAACUGCACAUAUAUAUAUUUUGGGUCAGAGGGAGAGGCAGAAGAGAUCAACCGCUCCUCGGGGGAUCUGUCUCUGCAUUGGUGUUGUGUAAAGACAGGGACAACGUUGACCGAGAGCUCUGUAAUAUUUCAUUUGAGAUACUUAUUAAAAAUAAUUUGAUUUGAGUUACGUGUCUAUUCUCCUCAUUCAAAGAACAUGCAGGACAAUUAAAGUCCAACAAUUGGUGACCCCAUCGACGUGAUGAGGAGGACUGGACAUCAUUGAUUUUUCUUCUCGACAUUCCACUUGCGCAAAAUAGGAAAGGUAAGCAGAUACCUGUUAUAUCAAAAUUCUGCUUUAUUUAAAUGUCGUGAAGAAUAAUUAAUGAUACAAUGAUUAUUGUCAUUUUUAUCUAAAUUGUAUAUCUCAAAUGAACUAUUAAAUGUGUCAAUUAAAUAAAAAGGGAAGUAACAAUAAUACGAUUAAAAUAAAAUAAAAGAAAAAUAGUAAAAUAAAAGAAAAAUAAGAAUAAAAAAAAAACAAUACAAGGAAUUAAUAACUGGUCCGGGACCAGGCGCGUUUGGAACGCGGAGAACGCAGAGUUGGAAACCCGGCACUGACGAGUGUCCUUAACCUCCGGGUUUAAAUUCCCUGGAAAAUGGUUCAUUCCAGAAACUGAGGAUCCGGGAUCCGGACGUGGUCACGUACCACGUUUUUUAGCGUAGUAAAAUUGGACGCGUGUUCCGGGAACACGUAGCGGUUUUUAUUGUUUCCGCAGGAUAAAAUUACAUUAGAUUAGGAUAGUGUUCUGGGAACACGUUGCGGUUGGACCGCGGGAAUAAAAUACAGUAGAAUAGGACUUAGUGUUCUGGGAACACGUUGCGGUUGGACCGCGGGAAUAGAAUACAGUAGAAUAAGACUUAGUGUUCUGGGAACACGUUGCGGUUGGACCGCGGGAAUAGAAUACAGUAGAAUAAGACUAAGUGUUCUGGGAACACGUUGCGGUUGGACCGCGGGAAUAGAAUACAGUAGAAUAGGAUUUAGUGUUCUGGGACAGAGCGGUUGGACCGCGAUACAUAGAGAUUGAAGUGGGUUUCAUACCCGAGAAAGUGGUCAGGGACCACGGGCAACGCAGCGGUUGGACCGCAUAAAGAGAAAGCGAAAGUGGUAAGAAAGCCACGAAAUAGUCGAAAAUACGAAGAGAAUAUUGGUAGGCCUAUUUGAAAAAGUUUUAUUGUAAGCAAUAUUGUUAAGUUGUGCUAAAGAAUAGGAAUUUGAAACUUGCUGAAGAUUAUACGAAAUGGCUGCUUAUUUUUAAAUGUGCUGUUUAUUUGCGCUGUUUGCUACCGGUAUAUUAUCAGCUUUACUAAGGACUGACAGCAAAUAACAUUGAGAGGAAGAAUAAACGAGAUAUUCAGGGUAAGACAUAUUUUAGUGGAAGAUAACAUGAAGACUCUUAAAGAGCAAUGGGAGGCAGCCGUAGAACAGCUUUUGAGCGGGUUAGAAGAAAGAGAAAGGCUCAAAAAAUUCAGAAAUUUAAAGAAAUAUAUGAGGAUUGGAAGCAAACGAAAGGAUAUGAAGACAAAAAAGUUAAGUCUGAAAAGAAGUUAGAAUACAGGAAGCAGAUGCAGGCUUCAACUUUCUGAGAAAGAAUGUACAGGAAGUAGGGUUUUUGUGUAAGAAGAAACAUGAGAGGAAAUGAAGAGAUGCGAAGCUAAGGAGAAAGAGAGAGAGAGAGCUGAGCUGAUGAGACAAUAUAAAGAGCUGGCUGUGCAGGCAGAACAGGUGAAAGCAGCACUGGAGAAAGAAAUAAGGGAACAAUGGAACAGCGUAGUACAGGAAAAGACAUUUCAGCCAAAAACACCCCAGGAGAAACAUUGAGAAGCAGAUUUAUAGCAGUGGACGAGACUGGGAGUCAGAUACAGGUUGAAAAUCAGGGAACAUAUCCAGUUGAAAUCAGAGGAGAAAUGAGGAUGGGUAAGAGGAUGAGAGAGAAGAGCAGGUAUGACUCCCUUAUAAAGACACCAAAGAAAGAACAGGAAGAAGAUGAACAGGAAUGUAGGGAACUACAUCUCAUUCUUAGGGUACCUAAUAUCUGCCCCCUAGUGGAGACAAGUGGAAAGGUAGAAUAAAAACCAUGGUCAUUCACAGACAUGGGAGCUAUCCUUGCAAAGCUACCUCAUAUCACGAGUGGUGGGGGUAAAUGGAUAGGGAAGGUAAUAACUUUGACACAAGGGCAUACGUUGGCGAUCGGAGACCUUAGAGCAUUAUUGGGACAGGUACUGACCGUAGGACAGAUUACGGAAAUUGAGCGAGAGGCAGGAACGGUAGGAUAUAUGAUGACCACCCAUAUUGUCAAGUGGCAUCAGUCCGGGGAAAGGCCCUGCAAAAGCUGUACCCAGCGCCAGCAGGCACUCUUUAGAAUAUAAAAUUUUCUCCAAAAGGGGAAGAAACAGCAGCAGCAUAUCUGAGUCGAUGCAAAGGAGAGUGGGAAGAGCAAACAGGGGCUCAUCCACAUUCAGAUAGAAUACAGGAACAGAUGUUCAGAGCUGCUGUAUUGGAAGGGACUCCUAAAUCUGUACAGGAUGAAAUAAAAGCCAACCCCGACUUACCAGGUGCUUUAUGUGAGGUUUGGGAACGACAUUUCCUUCAUCACAUGUCUAGGGCGAACGAAAAAGAAAAAGAAAAGGUAGGGGAAGUAGAGGAAUUGAAAAAACAGUUGCUAAAAUUACAGUUGCAGGAAGCAAGAUCUAAAUUAAAUGAAGAAAAAGGGAAAAAAAAGGAUAUACAAAUGGUAGUUCAGGAGAUGAAAGCCCCUCCAAGAUAUAACAAAGAACAGGAAGUUGACCCAUCAAAUGUUAAAUGGGAGAGAACCACCCAAAGACCAAUGUAUUACUCCAAUAGAGGUAGGGCUGGGGAUUACAAUAGGGGGAGGGGAAGAGUGCAGUAUCAGGAAGGGUGUUUCCGUUGUGGUCGUCCGGGACACUUCGUCCGUGAUUGUCGGCAACCUGAACUCGGAGCCCAACAGAGACCGUCUCGGGGCAGAGGCCAUAACCCACACAUGGCCCCUAACGUGGAAAAAGCACCACGACCACACUCGCAGUACCCUUUGUCCACUGGAGGGGAAAGGGAGUGGUACUGAGACAGCCCACGGAACGACCUCAGCAGGGUCAGGGCGGAACCCUUGCUGACUUUGGAGGUAAACACACGUCCUGUUGAAUUCCUGGUGGAUACUGGGGCAACAUACUCCACACUGAACUUUGAACUUCCAAAAAAUCUUAUUUCUGACGAAACCACUGAAGUAAGGGGGUUUUCCGGGGCUAUAACUAGACUGCCAUUCUCCAAAGAACUCACAGUGCAGUGCAUGAAAAAACAAUCACUGACUCACUCUUUUCUGCUGUCAUAUUCCUCACCGACAAAUUUGUUGGGAAGAGACUUGCUAGUGAAACUUGGAGCUGAAAUCCUAUGCAGCCCGGAGGGGAUUAUAGUAACUAUGAAAAAUGGUAUCACCAUGAACUGUUCCAUCAUGACCACAAUGAGAACGCAUGGACAAUGGUUACUUUCUGCAAACACCUCUCCACAGGGAGCUGACAUUUACUGGGGGAGGGUGCUUCUGGGGGACACAGGGGACACCCUGAACGAUCUGUACUCUCAAUGGGAACCUUGGAUAUUAUCAUUAGCGCCAUACACCCAGCUAAUAGAUCCACUGCAUGUCACUCUGUUUUAUGAUAGAACACAAGAGUACUGGUACCAAGAACAAUUUGAUAACAUUGCAGGAGAACAGUGGGAAAUUUUUGGGGCAGGAAUAUUGAUAGGCAAAGAGGGAGUGGCAGGUAUUGUAGAACUUACCCCCGAACAGGAACAAUGGUACAAAAUGAGGGAAGAGGCAUCACCCCAUAUAUCAUUGUUAGUACACCCCCAACACCAAGCUAAGGAUCUAGGACCAAUGGUAAAGAAGGGAAUACACUUAACAGAUUGGAGGGAAACCCAACUUCCUGGUGUAAAAUAUUCAUCUAGCUCAGGGUAUUAUUUGAUCACACAGGAAACAAAAGACACUGUAGUGUUGGAACACGAAUGGCUCACAAGAUGGCAUGGUAGGGAGAAAAGUGAUCAUGAAGAUGCUGAAACAAUGUUGAAAAGUUUGCCCGACCAGUUAUGGACUCAGAGUCCCACAGAUGUAGGGUUUUGUAAAAAUUACCCAGAAAUUUCGUUCGAGCUGACAUGUGAUGAUCCAAUUUGGAGGCCUCAAUAUAAGCACAAACCAAAGGCAGAGGAAGGUAUCAAAGAUACCAUUGAAGGUUUGUUAACCGCAGGGGUUUUAGAAUAUGAUGAUUCCAAUUGAAACACACCCAUUCUGCCUGUGGAAAGACAAAACACAGGAAAAUUCAGAAUGGCACAUGAUUUGAGAACAAUCAAUCAAAUCAUGAAAACUCCAACUUUACCUGUUCCAAACCCAUACACUUCUCUGAAUGAAAUCACUCAAAAUCAAUCAUGGUAUACUUGCAUCGAUCUCGCUAAUGCUUUCUUCUGUUUACCCCUUGCAGAGCAUGUGAGAAACAUUGUUUGACCGUACUCACCGGACAAUCUGUGGUAGCUUUUGUGAAUUCGUCAUCAUUUACAUUUUCCACUCUGAGACAAAGAAAGUUGGAAAACUGUCUCGCACAACCAAAUUUGGUUUUCACGCAUGAGGGCAUAAACAUGGCCUCAUAUUGGACAGAAGGAGAACCCCAUGACUGUUGUAUGACCGUGGAAAGGGAAGAGAAAAUUAGACCAGAUUUGUUGACACACAUUAUUCCGCAGGGAGUUAUGGUGUUUUCAGAUGGAUGUUGUUUCAGAGAUUCGAGUGGAACACUGAGGUCAGGGAUAGGUAUUGCAGCACUGCCAGAGGAAGACAUUGAGAUAUUGAUAGAAGAACCUUUACAGGGACAUCAGUCAGUUCAGAGAGCAGAAAUUGUGGCAAUGACAAAGGCUCUGGUGUGGGGAGAAGGAAAAAUAGUUAACCUUUUUAGUGACUCUACCUAUGCAGUGGGUGCAGUUGUAACAGAAUUGCCUAAGUGGAAAAGAUGUGGUUUUAUGGCAGCUAACAACAAACCUAUUAAACAUCAGGAAGACAUCAUAGCAUUAGCAGCAGCUAUUUUGAGACCCAAGUAGGUGGCGAUCAUAAAGUGCAAAGGUAAUGAUAACAGUAACUCAGAUGCGGCACAAGGUAACUGGAUAGCGGACAUGGCAGUAAAGAUAGGUGCAGGGUACGUAACACAGAUGGUAUUGCAGAAUGCAACACAAGAAUGUACCACCGACAUUUUGCAUGAUCCAAACAUAGCAGUAGAACAAGAUAAAGCAUGAGGAAAAAUCCAUGUGGCUCCAAAAAGGAGCUGUAUGGACGCAAACUGGCCGGGUAGGGCAUGACGGUAGACCCGUAACUCUGCCCAGCAUGGUAAAACCCCUUCUCACUCAAGAACACACCCCCUCACAUGUUGGAAUCAAACAACCCGUGUCCAAUCUUAACCAGUGGUGGCACCCAUACCUGGCUGCUACAGUUAAAGAAUUUAUCGCUAACUGCAGGGUGUGCUCCAUACACAAUGUACGUGCUGGAGUGAAAUGUGCCGCAGGUGUCUUCCCGCCACGGGGACCUGGUGAGGAAGUGGUUAUCGAUUACACAGACAUGGGGGAGAGAGUGGAAGGUAAACGUUAUCUUUUAGUUUUCAUGAAUGUGUUUUCAGGUUGGCCAAAGGAGUGGCCCACGGGGAAGGAAGAUUCGAUUUCUGUGAUUAAGUGUUUGAUUAACCAAUAAAUUCCGCGUUACGAUUUUCUGCGAAUAAUUCGCUCAGACAACGGUUCACAUUUUAAGAAUACAGAUUUUUGAAAUCUACAGAAAAGGUUGAGAGUGCACUGGGAUUGCGUUUCCGUUUCGGUACCGUAUACCAUCCUAAGUGACAGGGAAAAGUUGAAAGCAUGAAUCUUAACCGCAUGACCUAAUUUAGACCAUUUGAACUUCUGAUGGUAGUUCAUUUCCUGGUCCGUUCAACCCAGUGCACCCUGAACAGAUAAAAAUCUCGAUCACAGAACAUAAUUAACCAAACUGAAUGAUAUUGUUUCAAGUUUUUCCAAACAGAAAACCAUCUCUCAUGCAUAUCCAGAUGCAGAAAUCACUAAAUUGGAGGAUUGGGUGCUCCUAAGGGAUAUGGUAAGAUUGGACCUGCAGGAACUGCAGGACCAAAAGGGGGAAUCCAACACAGGGGAACAACAGCAGGUUGACAUUUCUCAAAAGAACACAAAAGUAACACACAAAGAACUAAAGGGGGACUUAUUAAACAGUCCAGAACAUGAACUCAAAAAACACUGUGAAGAACAAAGGGUAAAAAAGUUGGCUAUACCUAGGAUUGGGUGUGGUUUGGACAGACUAGAGUGGGAAAAAGUAAGGGAUUUAAUCAAAGAAGAGGUCCAAAACACAGAAAUAAUCAUUACUGUGUAUGUAAGGGAAUAAUAAGUGAAAAAAGGGAGAUUGGGAUUGUGAAGUAUUUUACUAUUUUUCAAAUAUUUUACAUGUUAUCAUUUUACGAUUUUUAAAUAUUUUACAUUUUUAUUUUGAUAUUUUUUCAGAUAUUUUCAAUUUUUCCAUUUUGAGAGUUUUUAAAUAUUUUACGUUUUUCUAUUUCAUGAUUUUCAAAUAUUUGACACUUUUCUAUUUUCAGAUUUUAAGAUUUCACAUUUCAAUAUUUUACAACUUCCAAGUAUUUUACAAUUUACUAUUUUUGGUGAUUUUUAAAGGUGUUACAUUUUAUCAUUUUCAUGAGUUUCAAGUAUUUUACACGUGACUGUUUUUGAGCAUUUCAAAAAUUUUACAUUUUUCUACAUAUUGUGAUUUUUCAAGGGUUUUGCAUUUUACAAUAUUUUAUGAUUUUCAAAGGACUUACAUUUUAAUAUAUCCUUUUGUGAGCAUUGUUGAAAAUAUUUGAUGACAUAUAUUCUUUCAGGGGUAUUUUCGGAGACAUCAUAACAUCGUUUUGCAUUUUUUUUAUAGAUUCUUUUACAAGGACAUUUUGAAGAUAUUUUACAAUUAUUUUGAAUUAACAUAGAUUCUUUUGCUAUAGAGUUGUGUUUGACAGUUUUACUUUUAACGUGUGUGUUUUGAAAUUAUUUCACAUCCAGUUUGACUAUAUUUUACAGCCUUCAUCUAUAUUUUUACAAAUGUUUCAUAAUUCUUUUAUUUCUGGGAUAUUUUACAUUUUUACUAAUUGACAGUUUUAGAGGAAUAUUUACUAUGUUUUGGUUAUAUUUGAGUGUGUGGAGGAUAAACUUUUGCUAUAUUUUACAGGACGUUUAUAGUACAUGUUCACCAAAUAUUUCACAGUUCUUUUAUGAUAAUCUAUAAGGUUUAAUAAUAAGAGGUGCACGAAGAUAAUGUAUAUUGUAUAAGGUUUGUGCCUAUCUUCUUAAAAUAUUUUCAAGCAGAGAUAAGAUUUACAAGAAACCAUAUAUUUGCGGUAGUGCCUGUUUAAAAUAAAUAAACAAAUAACUAAUCUGACAAAAAUUCAGGAAUCGAUAACCCAUUCAAUAGCUGGAUGACAAAAUGGUUUGGGCAAUACAGUGCGCUGAUCACUUCAUUAUUAAUGUCCAUCGCAGUGGCCGCGGCGAUACUUGUAACCUGUGGGUGUUGUUGUAUUCCAUGUAUCAGAUCUUUGUGUAACAGGUGGAUCGUGAAGACGGUGGAGGGGAAGGAUCCUCCACCGUAUCAGAUGCCACUGCUGGGAGCAGUAGGGCUAAACGAAGAAGAACCAAAGGAGGAGGAGUCAGAGGUUGAUCUCCUGUAAAGGAGAUCAAAAGGGGGAAUGAAGGAAAAUUAGAACAUUCCCACAUCCGCAUAUCCUUGAAAUAUGAAUAUUAACCGUGCUUUGAAUAAUCAUGAUUUUAUUAUUGCAUUAUUAAUGAUUGCAUUGCCUUUAAUCUUAAAGAUUUUAAGAAUAGCUUUGAGUAUUAACCUUUAGCAUAUAGUACUAAAGUUAGAAUAGUCUAGCAGGCUUAGAGAUAUGAUUCCAUUGUAUAUGGGUUUUGAUAGUUGACUUUUAAAUGUCAUGUGCAAAUUUAGCAGGCUUGGAGUUUUUGCGGUAUGUAUGUAUGUGUGUUUUUUAACUUUUGCUUUGCAGAAACACCUGGGGAGAAAAACAGGAUGUCGGGGCAGGGUGAAAUAACGGUCAUAGCUAUUUAUAACAGGAUGAACUUCUAAAACAGAAGUACAACUUUCCAUCGAACGGGUCUGGUGAACCUUUAAGAAAGAAGUAAAACUUUCCAUCGAACAGGCCCCCACCAAACUGCACAUAUAUAUAUUUUGGGUCAGAGGGAGAGGCAGAAGAGAUCAACCGCUCCUCGGGGGAUCUGUCUCUGCAUUGGUGUUGUGUAAAGACAGGGACAACGUUGACCGAGAGCUCUGUAAUAUUUCAUUUGAGAUACUUAUUAAAAAUAAUUUGAUUUGA